GGGGGGGCGGAGAGGCGGGGGGGAAGAGGGGGAAAUCCCUUUUAGUUUUGCGAUUAGGCUGCCAGGCUUUGAAAAGGGCUUAAAAACAAAGUCAUGCUCAGCCUUUUGUAGGAGAGAUCCAGAUGUUAUGUAGAUUUUUUUGGUUUUUUUUUUUUUUGUGCAUGUUCAUUUGGGAGCGGAUCCGGCGGUGAGCGCUGUAUGUCCGUGUGUACGUUGCUGGACUUUGCCAUAUAUCGACGUCGCGUUUGUGGAAUGUAUGCUGGAGUAUUAGCUCGAGGAUCUCCUCCAAGAUUAAAGCUAGUCCUAAGAGCAACCGAAUUGCUGUGACUGACUUUCACGGGACUGUAAAGAGAGGGCUAUGUGUGUUUAAAGAGAUGCUGAAGAGAUUUCUGAGUUCACGGGGAAGAAGGAAAGGUUGGUUUGGGGAACGGCAGCGCGCCUGGCAGGAGAUGGUUUCCUCAGUGUGUGGCAAGUGUUUCUUCAAGAAAUUCAUCAGCCCUUCUACAAUUACUUCGAGCUCCGAGGGAAGAGAGCUGCCAUCACUUUCUCACAUCCCAAGGUGUUGCAUGGAGGAGAGAAGAAAAGGCUGGCGCANNNNNNNNNNAAGGCUGUACCUGGAAAAGAAAAACCUGCAAGGGUAUAUUUGGAAGACGUGUGCCAUUCAGAGAUGGGGAAAAGUACCCCAUCUUGUGCAGUAAUUAGUCUGAACAAUAAACAUAAUUGGAAUAAAAUCA
RNAcentral lists this long non-coding RNA (734 nucleotides) under Calidris pugnax (ruff). RNAcentral's name for it is "lncRNA (ENSCPUG00000003951.1)". Lineage: Eukaryota; Metazoa; Chordata; Aves; Charadriiformes; Scolopacidae. The record is from RNAcentral.